UUUCCGUAGGUGAACCUGCGGAAGGAUCAUUAUUGUAUAACCUAGGUGCGAGUGCUGUCGCUGAUCCGAACCUUCGUGCACGCCCGAGUGCCCUCAUACACAUCCAUCUCACCCCUACGUGCAACACCGCGACUGUCCCCCUUUGGCCUAUUCGGAGGGGGCCAUACGUUUUCACCUAAACUUUACGUGCAGUGUGGAAUGUGUUUUGUGGUUUUGCGAUGCAGAAAGCAAUACAACUCUCAACAACUGAACUCUUGGCUCUCGCAUCGAUGAAGAACC
Molecule: unclassified non-coding RNA, 279 nt
Filed under: plant metagenome
Description: partial contains small subunit ribosomal RNA, internal transcribed spacer 1, and 5.8S ribosomal RNA
Source: RNAcentral